GUUGCGGUCUGAGGAGACAUUUGGAGAAUGAACAGCUCUCAGACUUUGUUACAGAGCACAGCCCUAUGGAGUGUGGGUCUGGGGGCUUGGCAUGGAGGAAGCCAGGGGGAGGAGACAGCUGGCAAAGGAUACCAGAGAACCCAGGCCCCGAAGCUCUGGUCUCCAUCGCCCAAGAACUUCACUCCACUCUUCCCUGAGUUAGACUUCACGAGGGCUGAAAGCAAGCUGUUAUGUGUCACUGGAACAUAUGAAAGGAAGCACGUAUUUUCCACACACAGUUGCUCCCAAUUUCAGGCCUCAGGAAUGCAAAGUUUCAGAAAGUAAACAGCAGCGAGACAGAACGUUCCAGAUGGCAGGGCUGAGUUGGUGGAACGGGCUCCCUCGGAAGCUGGACCGUUCCCCGCGGAACAGAAGCCGCCUGAGUCACUCUCUGCAGUGGCUGGGAAACUGCCGCUUCUCUUCUUCCUCUUCUCCAGACGUCUCCCCAGGAGUCCAACCAAAGCGGGGAAGGACCAUGAGACUCAAGUCCAGCCACCAGUAUUUCCGUCUCCUGGGGGCGGAAGUGAAAUAUGGGUGCCUGGGACAGGGCGGUUCUUCCUAUGGAGGACGUGAGAUUGAGAGCAGGUGGGCCACAGAGGGCUCCCGGCUGGAUUCCCACCAGGCAGACCCAUGAAUGACCAUCAGGGACAGACCAAGUUUCCAAAAUUCCAUCCGUCCAGGGGCCGCUCUGUUGGUGGGAACCGUUGACCCACUAACUUCUUCCAGCCCAUCUAGUUUUCCUGUGACCACAGCUGAGAUGGUUCCAAAGUCCUCGGAGUUCUGGUGGCUCCAGGGCACCCAAAGGGUGGGGUAAAUGAAGGAUAUUGCCUGCCGUAACAGUAAACAAGGGACGUUGCGGCCAUCAAGCCAUCACACUGCAGCUGCCCCGACUGUGAGCCCUGAGGGAACUCAGGCUAGAAACAGGAUGCCCCCCAUCUAGCAGUCACCUGCUGCAGCCACCCCCCACCCCUGACAGUGCACCCUGAGGGGACUCAGGAUGGGAAAACACAGGACGCUGGCCCCAGAGAGCUGAGGUGCACAUCAAAGGAAUGACUCCAGUGAGCCCAGACUCUUGCAUCUUCCCAUACACAGAAAAGCACUAAAUCCCUUAACUUGAAGUAUCUGGGUUUCUUUAAUCAACAGUAAUCUUUUGAUGUUCCAUCUACCUGGUCUUUGUUGCACAAACUCCUACGUAUCCUGGCGCCCCCCUCGCCUCUGCGGAGCAGCCUCUCACAGUUACCUGACAUGCUGUGUCUUGGGCUUGAGUCCUCAGGGCUGUCUGCUAAAUAAAACAUACCCUCAA
Orcinus orca (killer whale) is the source of this 1342-nucleotide long non-coding RNA. RefSeq lists it as uncharacterized. The record is from RefSeq and is a predicted model, not a curated record. Lineage: Eukaryota; Metazoa; Chordata; Mammalia; Artiodactyla; Delphinidae. The transcript has 2 exons.